Molecule: ribosomal RNA, 323 nt
Filed under: uncultured eukaryote
Lineage: Eukaryota
Description: partial 18S ribosomal RNA
Rfam family: Eukaryotic small subunit ribosomal RNA
Source: RNAcentral
CCCUUAGAUGUUCUGGGCCGCACGCGUGCUACACUGAACGGUUAAAUGGGUAAGGUAGUGCGAAAGCAUGACCUAAUCUCGAAAUCCGUUCGUGCUGGGGAUAGAAGCUUGCAAUUAUCCUUCUUGAACGAGGAAUACCUUGUAAGCGUGAGUCAUCAUCUCACGCUGAAUACGUCCCUGCCCUUUGUACACACCGCCCGUCGCUCCUACCGAUUGAGUGUUCCGGUGAGGCUUUGGGAGAAUGGCCUCAACAUGAGUUUAUCGUGUUUUGCCGUUUGAACUUAGUCAAACCUUAUCACUUAGAGGAAGGAGAAGUCGUAACA